Long non-coding RNA from Micropterus dolomieu (smallmouth bass), 505 nucleotides. RefSeq lists it as uncharacterized. The transcript is spliced from 4 exons. The record is from RefSeq and is a predicted model, not a curated record. NCBI's taxonomy places the organism in Eukaryota, Metazoa, Chordata, Actinopteri, Centrarchiformes, Centrarchidae.
AUCAACAGCCCAAAAUGAGACCAGUAUCACUCUGCAGUGGAAUAAAGUGAACAACAUCAUCAGCUAUAUUCUCCAGUUUAAUGGUGCAGAGAUCAACAUCACUGCACCAGAUGGAGAUGGACCAGUAACUCACACAGUCUCAUCUCUCACUGCUGCAACUGAAUACACAUUCACUCUCUUCUCUGUGUUUGAGAACGUCAGAAGCAGUGGAGUGAACAUUACUGCAGUUACCGAGGGGCCUUCAGAUUAUGUUCUUGCCCUGAACGUGGAAUUAGAGUCAUUGACUCAGCUGUCAGACUCAGACUUGCAGAGUGUGUUGGAGGAGCUCUUCAACCAAUACGGACUGUCCCCACAGUUGUCCUUCAAAGUGUUGAGACGAAAAAUCAGAAGAGACUAGAUGAAAUCAAGGACAAUGGAUCUGCAAUUGAAAAACUUUUUUUUAAUUUAUUUAGUUAUUUAGACUUUUCACAUUUCCAUGAUAAUUAUCAUCAUUCUCCCAUUUAUA